RNAcentral lists this ribosomal RNA (1058 nucleotides) under uncultured bacterium. RNAcentral's name for it is "bacterial SSU rRNA". It matches the Rfam family "Bacterial small subunit ribosomal RNA", at positions 28 to 1134 of the family's 1533-position model. The record is from RNAcentral.
GAUGAACGCUGGCGGCGUGCUUAACACAUGCAAGUCGAACGAACCUUCGGGUGAGUGGCGGACGGGUGAGUAACGCGUGGGAAUCUGCCCUCAGGAGGGGGAUAACGGCUGGAAACGGCCGCUAAUACCCCAUAUGCCGAGAGGUGAAAUGAAUUUCGCCUGAGGAUGAGCCCGCGUCUGAUUAGCUAGUUGGUGAGGUAAGAGCUCACCAAGGCAUCGAUCAGUAGCUGGUCUGAGAGGAUGAUCAGCCACACUGGGACUGAGACACGGCCCAGAUUCCUACGGGAGGCAGCAGUGGGGAAUUUUCCGCAAUGGGCGAAAGCCUGACGGAGCAACGCCGCGUGAGGGAUGAAGGCCUCUGGGCUGUAAACCUCUUUUCUCAAGGAAGAAGAUCUGACGGUACUUGAGGAAUAAGCCACGGCUAAUUCCGUGCCAGCAGCCGCGGUAAUACGGGAGUGGCAAGCGUUAUCCGGAAUUAUUGGGCGUAAAGCGUCCGCAGGCGGCCCUUCAAGUCUGCUGUUAAAACGUGGAGCUUAACUCCAUCAUGGCAGUGGAAACUGUUGGGCUUGAGUGUGGUAGGGGCAGAGGGAAUUCCCGGUGUAGCGGUGAAAUGCGUAGAUAUCGGGAAGAACACCAGUGGCGAAGGCGCUCUGCUGGGCCAUAACUGACGCUCAUGGACGAAAGCCAGGGGAGCGAAAGGGAUUAGAUACCCCUGUAGUCCUGGCCGUAAACGAUGAACACUAGGUGUCGGGGGAAUCGACCCCCUCGGUGUCGUAGCCAACGCGUUAAGUGUUCCGCCUGGGGAGUACGCACGCAAGUGUGAAACUCAAAGGAAUUGACGGGGGCCCGCACAAGCGGUGGAGUAUGUGGUUUAAUUCGAUGCAACGCGAAAAACCUUACCAGGGUUUGACAUCCUGCGAACCUCUUGGAAACGAGAGGGUGCCUUCGGGAGCGCAGUGACAGGUGGUGCAUGGCUGUCGUCAGCUCGUGUCGUGAAAUGUUGGGUUAAGUCCCGCAACGAGCGCAACCCACGUCUUUAGUUGCCAGCAUUUAGUUGG